This 415-nucleotide long non-coding RNA is filed under the name Ananas comosus (pineapple). RNAcentral describes it as "long non-coding RNA (ACOM_LNC030056)". Lineage: Eukaryota; Viridiplantae; Streptophyta; Magnoliopsida; Poales; Bromeliaceae. The record is from RNAcentral.
GAGAGAGAGAGAGAUUAGGGUUAGGGUUAGGGUUUGAGGGGGAUGGAUCGAGGGGAGGGGAUGAUUAUAAAGGAGAAGAGGGGGGAGGGGGGGGGGGAAUAAGAAUAUUCGGGGUAGGAGUGGGAAUAAGCGAAGAGGGUAGGGGCGGAAUAAGAAGAGGGGGGGGUUUAUGCCUCGGGAUAUUCCGUGGGGCCCACCGCCGUCGCCGUUAGGCCGUUGGGGGGAGGGAGACGUUUGUCACGUUUCGAACUGGAAUCGGAGGAGACGGUCGGAAUAUUCCGUUAGAUUCGACGUUAACGUCUAUUUCUUGUGGCGAAUUGUACGCAUAGUCCCUGUACUAUUGGCUAUUUCGAAAUCGACUCCUCACCCACAUGGCCACAUUGCUCCAAACAAAACGUGGAAAAUUAGUCCCCAC